AGUUACAAUAGAGUAUAUUAAAGUUGCUGCGGUUAAAAAGCUCGUAGUUGGAUUUCUGGUGAGGACGAUCGGUCCGCCCUCUGGGUGAGCAUUGACUCGGCCUUGGCAUCUUCUUGGAGAACGCUACUGCACUUGACUGUGUGGUGCGGCAUCCAGGACUUUUCCUUUGAGGAAAUUAGAGUGUUUCAAGCAGGCGCACGCCUUGUAUACAUUAGCAUGGAAUAAUAAGAUAGGACCUUGGUUCUAUUUUGUGGUUUCUAGAGCUGAUGUAAUGAUCAAUAGGGAUAGUUGGGGGGGAUUCGUAUUUAAAUGUCAGAGGUGAAAUUCUUGGAUUUGUUAAAGACGGACUACUGCGUAAGCAUUUGCCAAGGAUGUUUUCA
This 380-nucleotide ribosomal RNA is filed under the name uncultured eukaryote. Its description in RNAcentral is "SSU rRNA". It matches the Rfam family "Eukaryotic small subunit ribosomal RNA", at positions 587 to 972 of the family's 1831-position model. The record is from RNAcentral.